AACGAACGCUGGCGGCAUGCCUAACACAUGCAAGUCGAACGAGACCUUCGGGUCUAGUGGCGCACGGGUGCGUAACGCGUGGGAACCUGCCCUUAGGUUCGGAAUAACUCCCCGAAAGGGGUGCUAAUACCGGAUAAUGUCUUCGGACCAAAGAUUUAUCGCCUUUGGAUGGGCCCGCGUUGGAUUAGCUAGUUGGUAGGGUAAAAGCCUACCAAGGCGACGAUCCAUAGCUGGUCUGAGAGGAUGAUCAGCCACACUGGGACUGAGACACGGCCCAGACUCCUCCGGGAGGCAGCAGUGGGGAAUAUUGGACCAUGGGCGAAAGCCUGAUCCAGCAAUGCCGCGUGAGUGAUGAAGGCCUUAGGGUUGUAAAGCUCUUUUACCCGGGAUGAUAAUGACAGUACCGGGAGAAUAAGCUCCGGCUAACUCCGUG
RNAcentral lists this ribosomal RNA (433 nucleotides) under uncultured bacterium. RNAcentral describes it as "partial 16S ribosomal RNA". It matches the Rfam family "Bacterial small subunit ribosomal RNA", at positions 29 to 507 of the family's 1533-position model. The record is from RNAcentral.